CCUACGGGAGGCAGCAGUGGGGAAUAUUGGGCAAUGGGCGCAAGCCUGACCCAGCAACGCCGCGUGAAGGAAGAAGGCUUUCGGGUUGUAAACUUCUUUUCUCAGGGACGAAGCAAGUGACGGUACCUGAGGAAUAAGCCACGGCUAACUACGUGCCAGCAGCCGCGGUAAUACGUAGGGGGCAAGCGUUAUCCGGAUUGACUGGGUGUAAAGGGCGUGUUGGGGGGGACGCAAGUCAGAUGUGAAAACCACGGGGUCAACCUGUGGCCUGCAUUUGAAACUGUGUUUCUUGAGUGCUGGAGAGGCAGACGGAAUGCCUGGUGUAGCGGUGAAAUGCGUAGAUAUUAGGAGGAACACCAGUGGCGAAGGCGGUCUGCUGGACAGCAACUGACGCUGAGGCGCGAAAGCGUGGGGAGCAAACAGGAUUAGAUACCCCAGUAGUC
This 443-nucleotide ribosomal RNA is filed under the name uncultured bacterium. RNAcentral describes it as "partial 16S ribosomal RNA". It matches the Rfam family "Bacterial small subunit ribosomal RNA", at positions 338 to 795 of the family's 1533-position model. The record is from RNAcentral.